Molecule: ribosomal RNA, 497 nt
Filed under: uncultured bacterium
Lineage: Bacteria
Description: partial 16S ribosomal RNA
Rfam family: Bacterial small subunit ribosomal RNA
Source: RNAcentral
GAUGAACGCUGGCGGCGUGCCUAAUACAUGCAAGUCGAGCGAACAGACGAGGAGCUUGCUCCUCUGACGUUAGCGGCGGACGGGUGAGUAACACGUGGAUAACCUACCUAUAAGACUGGGAUAACUUCGGGAAACCGGAGCUAAUACCGGAUAAUAUAUUGAACCGCAUGGUUCAAUAGUGAAAGACGGUUUUGCUGUCACUUAUAGAUGGAUCCGCGCCGCAUUAGCUAGUUGGUAAGGUAACGGCUUACCAAGGCAACGAUGCGUAGCCGACCUGAUAGGGUGAUCGGCCACACUGGAACUUAGACACGGUCCAGACUCCUACGGGAGGCAGCAGUAGGGAAUCUGCCGCAAUGGGCGAAAGCCUGACGGAGCAACGCCGCGUGAGUGAUGAAGGUCUUCGGAUCGUAAAACUCUGUUAUUAGGGAAGAACAAAUGUGUAAGUAACUAUGCACGUCUUGACGGUACCUAAUCAGAAAGCCACGGCUAACUACGUG